GUGGGGAAUCUUCCGCAAUGGACGAAAGUCUGACGGAGCAACGCCGCGUGAGUGAUGAAGGUCUUCGGAUUGUAAAGCUCUGUUAAUCGGGACGAAAGAGCCUAGUGUGAAUAAUGCUAGGAAGUGACGGUACCGGAAUAGAAAGCCACGGCUAACUACGUGCCAGCAGCCGCGGUAAUACGUAGGUGGCAAGCGUUGUCCGGAAUUAUUGGGCGUAAAGCGCGCGCAGGCGGAUCUGCCAGUCUGUCUUAAAAGUUCGGGGCUUAACCCCGUGAUGGGAUGGAAACUACAGAUCUAGAGUAUCGGAGAGUAAAGUGGAAUUCCUAGUGUAGCGGUGAAAUGCGUAGAUAUUAGGAAGAACACCAGUGGCGAAGGCGACUUUCUGGACGAAAACUGACGCUGAGGCGCGAAAGCCAGGGGAGCGAACGGGAUUAGAUACCCCAGUAGUCC
RNAcentral lists this ribosomal RNA (450 nucleotides) under uncultured bacterium. Its description in RNAcentral is "partial 16S ribosomal RNA". It matches the Rfam family "Bacterial small subunit ribosomal RNA", at positions 354 to 796 of the family's 1533-position model. The record is from RNAcentral.